RNAcentral lists this long non-coding RNA (289 nucleotides) under Lathyrus oleraceus (garden pea). Its description in RNAcentral is "Pisum sativum (pea) long non-coding RNA (PSAT_LNC014056)". The record is from RNAcentral. Lineage: Eukaryota; Viridiplantae; Streptophyta; Magnoliopsida; Fabales; Fabaceae.
UUCCUUCAAGCUUAACUCAAGAACGAGAACAAUUAAACAAAAAAGUGGGGCAUACCAAAGUUCAUAGAAACACACAAUUAAACUUCACAAUAAAGAUACAUGCAAUUAACAAAACAAAAGUUCAUGGUGAAACGAGAGCCACCAAAAGUACAACAACAACAAAAAAUGGGAAACACCAACAUGUGAUGCUUCCUAAAGUACAACCAUAAUUAAAAACACAAAAACAAUAAUAAUAAUAAAUAAAUAACUAACAAAUAAAAAAUCUAAUACUACCCAAACCAAGGUCUUC